UAGCGGGUGGCUUGUAACACCCCGCUCACCAUCGUGCUAAGUUGUAGGGAAUAGAGUGAUGUCUACACGUCAACCUCUCCCGAUCCACCAGCAAGGUACUGGAAACAUUAGCACAGUUGCCUUCGUCAACUAUCACAUUAUAGACUUUUUCAUUGACCAGGCACCUGGAAUGAAAAAUAGUCUCUUGCUGACUGUUGCUUUUGGACUUAACAUGUAUGUUUAGUGCUCAUUGAGCUACAAAUACGUCUCCCUGUGCUAGUU
This 261-nucleotide long non-coding RNA is filed under the name Carica papaya (papaya). RNAcentral describes it as "long non-coding RNA (CPAP_LNC005799)". The record is from RNAcentral. Lineage: Eukaryota; Viridiplantae; Streptophyta; Magnoliopsida; Brassicales; Caricaceae.